Molecule: ribosomal RNA, 506 nt
Filed under: uncultured bacterium
Lineage: Bacteria
Description: partial 16S ribosomal RNA
Rfam family: Bacterial small subunit ribosomal RNA
Source: RNAcentral
AGCGAACGCUGGCGGUAGGCCUAACACAUGCAAGUCGAACGGCAGCACAGAGGAGCUUGCUCCUUGGGUGGCGAGUGGCGGACGGGUGAGGAAUACAUCGGAAUCUACUCUGUCGUGGGGGAUAACGUAGGGAAACUUACGCUAAUACCGCAUACGACCUACGGGUGAAAGCAGGGGACCUUCGGGCCUUGCGCGAUUGAGUGAGCCGAUGUCGGAUUAGCUAGUUGGCGGGGUAAAGGCCCACCAAGGCGACGAUCCGUAGCUGGUCUGAGAGGAUGAUCAGCCACACUGGAACUGAGACACGGUCCAGACUCCUACGGGAGGCAGCAGUGGGGAAUAUUGGACAAUGGGCGCAAGCCUGAUCCAGCCAUACCGCGUGGGUGAAGAAGACCUUCGGGUUGUAAAGCCCUUUUGUUGGGAAAGAAAUCCAGCUGGCUAAUACCCGGUUGGGAUGACGGUACCCAAAGAAUAAGCACCGGCUAACUUCGUGCCAGCAGCCGCGGUAA